CAAACUCCAGCGCGAGCGUGACGAGGUUAUCCGAGUGACUCCCGCUGAGGGGGUCUUUUGUCAGCUGUAAAUAGGCAGGCGAAUAAGGGGAGGGCAAGCCUGGUGUCAGCCGCCGCGGUAAUACCAGCUCCUCGAGUGGUCGGGGCGAUUAUUGGGCCUAAAGCAUCCGUAGCCGGUUCCGUAGGUCCUCUGUUAAAUCCAACCGCUUAACGGUUGACCUGCAGAGGAUACCGCGGGACUAGGAGGCGGGAGAGGCGGACGGUACUCCUCGUGUACGGGGAAAAUCCUUUGAUCCGCGGAAGACCACCAGUGAGGAACGCGGGCCGCCGCAACGGAUGCUUUAGGCAGGG
Molecule: ribosomal RNA, 350 nt
Filed under: uncultured archaeon
Lineage: Archaea
Description: bacterial SSU rRNA
Rfam family: Archaeal small subunit ribosomal RNA
Source: RNAcentral